This 425-nucleotide ribosomal RNA is filed under the name uncultured Acetoanaerobium sp. RNAcentral's name for it is "bacterial SSU rRNA". It matches the Rfam family "Bacterial small subunit ribosomal RNA", at positions 356 to 774 of the family's 1533-position model. The record is from RNAcentral. Lineage: Bacteria; Bacillati; Bacillota; Clostridia; Peptostreptococcales; Filifactoraceae.
GGGGAAUCUUGCACAAUGGGGGAAACCCUGAUGCAGCCAUGCCGCGUGUGUGAAGAAGGCCUUCGGGUUGUAAAGCACUUUCAGUCAGGAGGAAGGUGGUGUAGCUAAUAUCUGCACCAAUUGACGUUACUGACAGAAGAAGCACCGGCUAACUCCGUGCCAGCAGCCGCGGUAAUACGGAGGGUGCGAGCGUUAAUCGGAAUUACUGGGCGUAAAGGGUGCGUAGGCGGUUUAUCAAGUCAGGGGUGAAAGGCUACGGCUCAACCGUAGUGAGCCUCUGAAACUGGUGAACUUGAGUGUAGGAGAGGAAAGUGGAAUUCCCAGUGUAGCGGUGAAAUGCGUAGAUAUUGGGAGGAACACCAGUGGCGAAGGCGACUUUCUGGACUACAACUGACGCUGAGGCACGAAAGCGUGGGGAGCAAACA